CCUACGGGGGGCAGCAGUGUGGAAUAUUGCGCGAUGGGCGAAAGCCUGACGCAGCGACGCCGCGUGAGGGAUGAAGGUCUUCGGAUCGUAAACCUCUGUCAGCAGGGAAGAACGGUCACUGUGCUAAUCAGCAGUGAAUUGACGGUACCUGCAAAGGAAGCACAGGCUAACUCCGUGCCAGCAGCCGCGGUAAUACGGGGGGUGCGAGCGUUAGUCGGAAUUACUGGGCGUAAAGCGCUCGUAGGCGGUAGGUCAAGUCAAGGGUUACAUCCCCGCGCUCAACGUGGGAACUGCCUUUGAAACUGGCAAACUUGAGUGUGUGAGAGGAUAGUGGAAUUCCAGGUGUAGGAGUGAAAUCCGUAGAUAUCUGGAGGAACAUCAGUGGCGAAGGCGACUAUCUGGCACAUAACUGACGCUGAGGAGCGAAAGCGUGGGUAGCAAACAGGAUUAGAUACCCCAGUAGUC
Molecule: ribosomal RNA, 465 nt
Filed under: uncultured bacterium
Lineage: Bacteria
Description: partial 16S ribosomal RNA
Rfam family: Bacterial small subunit ribosomal RNA
Source: RNAcentral